AUGCCAUGUUUAUGACACCAGCCUCUGUUUCCAUGGGGAUGAUUGUAUCAAUGUAAUUCCAGCAUUAUGACUUCUGGGUACAUUUGAGAAGAUGGGUGAAAGCAACGAAAAAUUUUCAAGUGUACACAUCUAUUGUGAUCCUGAUAACUCACAGGAAUGAUACUGCUGAAAAUAGAGACUAGGAAUCAGACAGAUGUCCACUAAAGCCUGAGGUCAUUUUUUUCUGAUGGCUAAAAAGGAUGUUUAACCCCUAAGUCCUUCCUUCUUGAAAUCUUUGGUCUGCUUUAUUUUAAAUGUUUUGUUUUAGUUUUUAAUAUGACAUAAUUUGCAUUAGGCAUCUGUAAGGCUUUUAUCUGCUCAUUGCCUAAAUCUUUCAUCUGUAUGGGGACUGCAUUAAGCUCAUCCUGAAUAAUGGCCUCUAUUAUUUAAAUCCAUUAUUCAAAUUCCAUUUUUCUAAGAAGCUAUCACUCCUAUUCCAUCUGCAAAUAUGAAAACUUAAAUGUAAAGGUCCCUCUUCAAAUUUUCCACAGGAAAAAAACAUGUCAUCCAUUUAAAUGCAUGCUUCAGGCACUGCACAUUCUGUAAGAAGGCGAUUUUAAACAACCUAUUUCUAUUUAAUGUCAAAAUUGAGAUUUUAAAAAAUUUUGCUGAUUACAAAAGUAAUUCAUAUUUACUGUGAAAAAGAAAAUCAAACACUGAAGAAUUUGAAGUAGAAAGUAGCUACCCAAAAUUCUAUCCAAAAUUGCUAUAACCCACAGAAACAUUGUUUUAUCUCUAUAUUUUUCUAAAUGUUGAAAUAUUAAAAUCAUGACUAUUUACACAAAUUGAAUCAUAUGAUUCUGUGGCAGACAAUUUUCCAAAGAUGGUCACAACAAUAUCCCUCAUCCUGCAUGCUUUUCUGCAAGUUCCUUGCCACUCUCCCAUCAAGAAAUGUUAUUUCGCCACCUCCCUGAAUCUCAGCAGGACUUUGGAUUGCUUCAAUCAAUAGAAUAGAGCUGAUACAACGUUAUACUAAUUCUGUGUAUAGCCUUUAACUGGCCUGGCAACUUCCACUUCCUGCUUUUCGGAAGGUAGACAUGUUAAGAAGUAGGACUACCCUGAGACCACCAUGCUAAGAACUGGAAGAUGAGAUACCUUGUUGAGAAGUAAAGAAAUCAAAGCGCACCAAGGCACUAGACAUGCUUUUCAAACGCAGAUUUGUUUGUUGUUUGGUUGGUUUGUUGCUUGACUCUACUCUUACCUACAUACAUAUCAACACACACAACAUGUAAGACUUGUAAGUGAAGAAGCCAUCUUGGAAGUAGAUCCUUCUCUCCCAGCCGACCUGGCUGACUAUAACACAAACCACCCAACCAAGCCCUUCUUGAGUGCUGAUCUAUUAAACCAGAAGCAGAAAAAAAGAGUUACUUUAAGCCCUUAAGUUCUGGCAUUGUUUGUACCAUUAACAUUUAAAUAACCAAAACACAUGGUUGGAGCAUUUUUUAUUUUAAAACAAAUUAAAUCCAUCUCACCUAUUUUAGUAGCUCUCAUAGUAUUCUAUCAUAGGCAUUUACCCUAUGUUAACUCAGCUUCAAUAGAUGUACUUUUAGACUAUUUUCCAUUUUUAUUAUGCUGUAGCAAAUAUUUGUUUACAUUUAUCUGUAUCUAUCUGAUUGUUUUCAAAAAUAAAUUCUUCUAAGUCAUAUUACUGGGCCAUAUGGGAAUUCAAAUAUUACAUUUUGAUAUCUUCAGCCUGAUUAUAUUUCAGAAAUGUACAAAUUUAUUCUCACACCAGGAGCAUGUAAGAGUUUCUCUCUCCCACACUUUCAUCAUCACUGGAUUUUAUCAAUCUUUAUAAUUUUAGCCAAUCUGCUGACAUAUACAUAGUUUCAUUUUUAUUGUUCACUUCUUAUAUUUGUCAUCCUAAAACCAUGUGUGGACAGAAAGAGUCCAUAAGACCUAAAUGUCCUGGAAGGUGAAGUCAAACCAUUGAGAAAAUUACCUGGAGAGUCUUCCAGAGGCUGAGACUUCACCCUAUUGGUUUUUACGCUUCUCAGAGCCAGGAGCAUCCCAGAUGCAGAGUCCAGAACUGGGAGGAUGUGGUACUGAGGGAGCCCAGAGCGGAUGGAAUAACAAGGAAGGGAUUUGCCUUCCUGCUUGAAGCAUCUAACGAAUCUGACAAAGUAUAUUAAAGAAAGUGUCUCAAGACACUGGACAUCAGCUUAAAGGAAGACCCAAUAGGAUAAAAUUGUUUUCAAGUCACUUAACUGCAUCCUAGAAUGAACUCAAGUAUAUUUAUAGGAAUACAAUAAUGUACAGCCCUCAACAAGAGAAAUUUCACGAAGCUUGGCACACAUUCAAGAAUAACGAGGCAUGCAAAGAAGUAGGACAAAUGCAACCAUAAUACAGAGAAAAGCCAAUCAAACAGACCCAGUAAUGACACUGAUGAUGGAGUUAGUAGACAAGGCCAUUAAAACAGUCAUUAUAACUGCGUUCCAUAUGUUUGAGAAACUUGAACGUGAUAAGUAGAGACAUGGAAGAUAAUUUUGUUGCCUGGGCUUACCCUUCAGACUCUGCUUCUUGAACAGUGUCAGUGGCUGUAAUCUCAGUUCAGAUCUUUCAUCUUUAACUGAGCUGCUUUGAGUCUUCUGCAUAGGUGUGGUUUGAGAGUCGGUCAGACUGGGUACACAGAAUGGCCCCCACCACCGCAAUUCUCUUCAGUGUUCAUAGUAGUCCAGCUUCAAUUUUCUGGUUCCCCAGGCCAGAAAGAAGGGAUGCUUGUUUGUCCACAUGCACCCCAACAGCUGCUGUGUGCACUAUAUGGAGCCACAGAGAUGGGACCUUUCCUGGGCAACUUCUCAUCUCCCCUGUCCAAGUACACUGGAACCAACUGGAAGAGCACUAAAUUGUCAAAGCUGGAACAUUUUGAGCAACAAAAUAAAUAAAGUAGUAUAGAGUGAUA
RNAcentral lists this long non-coding RNA (2941 nucleotides) under Homo sapiens (human). Its description in RNAcentral is "HSALNT0385647". Lineage: Eukaryota; Metazoa; Chordata; Mammalia; Primates; Hominidae. The record is from RNAcentral.